GAGAGUUGCAAAACUCCCACAAACCAUCGCGAACGUUACCCAGACGUCGUUGCUUCGGCGGGCUCGCCCGCCGGGGGGACGCUACCAGACUCUUGCAGUUCUUCGGCCUCUCUGAGUAUGAUUUUUAAAUAAGUCA
RNAcentral lists this unclassified non-coding RNA (136 nucleotides) under soil metagenome. Its description in RNAcentral is "partial internal transcribed spacer 1". The record is from RNAcentral.